RNAcentral lists this ribosomal RNA (497 nucleotides) under uncultured bacterium. RNAcentral's name for it is "partial 16S ribosomal RNA". It matches the Rfam family "Bacterial small subunit ribosomal RNA", at positions 28 to 507 of the family's 1533-position model. The record is from RNAcentral.
GAUGAACGCUGGCGGCGUGCCUAAUACAUGCAAGUCGAGCGAACAGACGAGGAGCUUGCUCCUCUGACGUUAGCGGCGGACGGGUGAGUAACACGUGGAUAACCUACCUCUAAGACUGGGAUAACUUCGGGAAACCGGAUCUAAUACCGGAUAAUAUAUUGAACCGCAUGGUUCAAUAGUGAAAGACGGUUUUGCUGUCACUUAUAGAUGGAUCCGCGCCGCAUUAGCUAGUUGGUAAGGUAACGGCUUACCAAGGCGACGAUGCGUAGCCGACCUGGGAGGGUGAUCGGCCACACUGGAACUGGGACACGGUCCAGACUCCUACGGGAGGCAGCAGUAGGGAAUCUUCCGCAAUGGGCGAAAGCCUGACGGAGCAACGCCGCGUGAGUGAUGACGGUCUUCGGAUCGUAAAGCUCUGUUAUUAGGGAAGAACAAAUGUGUAAGUAACUAUGCACGUCUUGACGGUACCUACUCAGAAAGCCACGGCUAACUACGUG